This 234-nucleotide ribosomal RNA is filed under the name uncultured bacterium. RNAcentral describes it as "partial 16S ribosomal RNA". It matches the Rfam family "Bacterial small subunit ribosomal RNA", at positions 791 to 1035 of the family's 1533-position model. The record is from RNAcentral.
UAGUCCACGCCCUAAACGAUGAGUACUAAGUGUUACCAUUAGGUAGUGCUGAAGUUAACGCAUUAAGUACUCCGCCUGAGUAGUACGUACGCAAGUAUGAAACUUAAAGGAAUUGACGGGAGCCCGCACAAGCGGUGGAGCAUGUUGUUUAAUUCGAAGAUACGCGAAGAACCUUACCAGGUCUUGACAUCGUUAGCAAAGCUAUAGAGAUAUAGUGGAGGUUAGCUAAUAGAC